GCCAUAAGUCUGAAAGUAGUCCCAGCUACUUGGCGGGCUGAGGCUGGAGGAUCGCUUAGUAUCACUAAGUGUGCUAUGCCAAUCGGGUGUCCGCACUAAUUUCAGCAUCAGUGUGGUGACUUGCUGGGUACUGGGGGCCACCAGGUUGCCUAAGGAAGGGUGAACCUGCCCAUAUUGGAAACUGAGCAGGCCAAAACUCCCGUGCUGAUCAGUAGUGGGAUCGUGCCUGGGAAUAGCCACUGCACUCCAGCCUGGG
Unclassified non-coding RNA from Cervus hanglu yarkandensis (Yarkand deer), 256 nucleotides. It matches the Rfam family "Metazoan signal recognition particle RNA". From Rfam's summary of the family: The signal recognition particle (SRP) is a universally conserved ribonucleoprotein. It is involved in the co-translational targeting of proteins to membranes. The record is from Ensembl. Lineage: Eukaryota; Metazoa; Chordata; Mammalia; Artiodactyla; Cervidae.